AUGUCGUCGACGGCCACCGUCACCCGCGCCCACCUCGAGAACAAGCUCGCCCUCGCCAGACGCUGCUCCAGAGAGGCGACGCUCGCCGGAGCAAAGGCGGCGGCCAUCGCCACGGUCGCGUCUGCGGUCCCAACGGUGAGCUCCUCCGUCCGGGAUUUGUUGAUUUUCAUGCACGUUGGUCUGGUUUUCAUGACUGAACUGUUUAUCGUGCAGCUGGCGAGCGUGCGGAUGCUGCCGUGGGCCAAGGCGAACCUGAACCCCACCGGCCAGGCGCUCAUUGUUUGCACCGUCGCCGGGAUGGCCUACUUCGUCGCCGCCGACAAGACUAUCCUCUCGCUGGCAAGGAAGCACUCGUACGAGAGCGCCCCGGACCACCUCAAGGACACCUCCUUCCAUGGCGCCGCCGCCGCAACUCGUCCCCGUCCGCCGGCAUUCUUCAGGCCUUGA
RNAcentral lists this ribosomal RNA (447 nucleotides) under Triticum aestivum (bread wheat). RNAcentral describes it as "partial small subunit ribosomal RNA". The record is from RNAcentral. Lineage: Eukaryota; Viridiplantae; Streptophyta; Magnoliopsida; Poales; Poaceae.